CUACGGGAGGCAGCAGUGGGGAAUAUUGCACAAUGGGGGAAACCCUGAUGCAGCCAUGCCGCGUGUGCGAAGAAGGCCUUCGGGUUGUAAAGCACUUUUGUUCGGAAAGAAGGGGGGCGUGCUAACACCAUGCCCUCUUGACGAGACCGAAAGAAGAAGCACCGGCUAACUACGUGCCAGCAGCCGCGGUAAUACGUAGGGUGCGAGCGUUAAUCGGAAUCACUGGGCGUAAAGGGUGCGCGGGUGGCUUGCCAAGACCCCUGUAAAAUCCUACGGCCCAACCGUAGUGCUGCGGAGGUGACUGGCAAGCUUGAGUAUGGCAGAGGGGGGUAGAAUUCCAGGUGUAGCGGUGAAAUGCGUAGAGAUCUGGAGGAAUACCGAAGGCGAAGGCAACCCCCUGGGCCAUCACUGACACUGAGGCACGAAAGCGUGGGGAGCAAACAGGAUUAGAUACCCGUGUAGUC
RNAcentral lists this ribosomal RNA (464 nucleotides) under Candidatus Tremblayella endosymbiont of Rhizoecus sp. RNAcentral describes it as "bacterial SSU rRNA". It matches the Rfam family "Bacterial small subunit ribosomal RNA", at positions 339 to 795 of the family's 1533-position model. Lineage: Bacteria; Pseudomonadati; Pseudomonadota; Betaproteobacteria. The record is from RNAcentral.